This is a non-coding RNA of Schistosoma mansoni, 45 nucleotides long. NCBI's taxonomy places the organism in Eukaryota, Metazoa, Platyhelminthes, Trematoda, Strigeidida, Schistosomatidae. The record is from Rfam.
AUUCAGCUGAUGAGUCCCAAAUAGGAUGAAGCGCGCGUCCUGGAU